GCCUCCCCUCUCUUCUGCUCUGCCCUUCCAGGUCAAGCAGGCUGGAGAACUACAGUCCCCUUGCUGCGGCAGCUGUGAGCCUGCCGGGGCCCUCCCUGGCUUACAAAGUUGGGAGUGUGGUGUCGGGAAGCCCUCCGGGCCCCAGCAGCCCCAGGAGAGGCUCGAGGCCCGGCAGGGCUGCCGCUGGAAAGGGAGUAAAAGCCGGUUGCAUCAGAGCAACUCGCCCGAGAGCCGCCGGCGGGCACGGCGACAAGCGCUAACACAAAUUACAAACAGAAACUGCAAAACUGUUAGUCCGUGGGAGCCCCCUGCCAAGAUCAGAGCGGUCCGCACGGAUACGAUUUAUAGGUAACUAGACCAAGCGUCCACUUCGUCAGGAGCGGGUCGCCUGGAGGCCCUUCAGUUUGGGUCACCCGUGUGUCCCUGGGCAACGUGCUCAUCGCGGUACUAGAAGCUGAGGACACACGGUGAGCUCCUCCCCUCAUGGGCCAGGUUCACAGGCAGGUACCUUCCAACCCAUCUGGGACGCGGAAAGAGCCAAGGGAGCGGGGAGGAGGGGCCGCCGACUCACCGGGCCGGUGGGCGGGGCCUCGGAAGAGCAACUUGAGGCGAGGCUCGCGGGUCCAAAGGACUUCCCCAGGUGAGCGGGAGGAAGGAAAGGGUAUUCCCAGCAGGGGGAGCUCUCCUUUUGUACAUUGCAUGGAACUCAGGUGGGAGAUGGAAAGGAAGCCAACAGGGGAAGAAAAAGGAUUGCCUACUCUGCCUUUUCAAUGUCUCUCACCCGGCUCUGAUUCCUGAAGAGAGAGAGAAGGACACACUGAAGGACGGUUUCUAGCAGCUUAAAGGAGUGGGGAAAAAAAAAAACUGAAUCGAAAGGCAAAGAUCCUUCAAGAAGCCCUAAAGAGUGGUCUUUGCUCCUUACCUUGACUCCCCGCAAUCACCUAAAUCCAGGAGAAACUGAGAUGCCCUAGAAGCUCCCCUCUGCAACUGGAAUCAGGAAUAAAGUCAACACAGAGAAUCAGAGUAAAGCAGUACUAGGAGUACCGGGUUUGUUUGCAGGCUUCCCUAUUGUUGGAAAAAGAUGGUUUAUUUGAUUUACACUCAGGAGUUAUUUUUCUAGCACCAAGUAACUCAAGGGAGCCUUUUUAUGCUCAACUACGAGUAAAUAAAACAGUAAU
Ailuropoda melanoleuca (giant panda) is the source of this 1178-nucleotide long non-coding RNA. RefSeq lists it as uncharacterized. Lineage: Eukaryota; Metazoa; Chordata; Mammalia; Carnivora; Ursidae. The transcript has 3 exons. The record is from RefSeq and is a predicted model, not a curated record.